AGAGUUUGAUCAUGGCUCAGAACGAACGCUGGCGGCAUGCCUAACACAUGCAAGUCGAACGCCAUCCUCUGGAUGGAGUGGCGCACGGGUGAGUAACGCGUGGGAACCUGCCUUUUUCUGCGGGACAACGGUUGGAAACGACCGCUAAUACCGCAUACGCCCUACGGGGGAAAGGUCCGCCGGAGAGAGAGGGGCCCGCGUUUGAUUAGCUUGUUGGUGGGGUAACGGCUCACCAAGGCGACGAUCAAUAGCUGGUCUGAGAGGAUGAUCAGCCACACUGGGACUGAGACACGGCCCAGACUCCUACGGGAGGCAGCAGUGGGGAAUAUUGGACAAUGGGGGCAACCCUGAUCCAGCAAUGCCGCGUGUGUGAUGAAGGCCUUAGGGUUGUAAAGCACUUUCACUGGCGAAGAUGAUGACGGUAACCAGAGAAGAAGCCCCGGCUAACUUCGUGCCAGCAGCCGCGGUAAUACGAAGGGGGCGAGCGUUGUUCGGAAUUACUGGGCGUAAAGGGCGUGUAGGCGGCUCCUUAAGUUAGGCGUGAAAGCCCCGGGCUCAACCCGGAACU
Molecule: ribosomal RNA, 568 nt
Filed under: uncultured Alphaproteobacteria bacterium
Lineage: Bacteria; Pseudomonadati; Pseudomonadota; Alphaproteobacteria
Description: bacterial SSU rRNA
Rfam family: Bacterial small subunit ribosomal RNA
Source: RNAcentral